This 645-nucleotide long non-coding RNA is filed under the name Vigna radiata. RNAcentral's name for it is "long non-coding RNA (VRAD_LNC000335)". The record is from RNAcentral. Lineage: Eukaryota; Viridiplantae; Streptophyta; Magnoliopsida; Fabales; Fabaceae.
UUAAAUGCUUGUUCCAUAGUGACAUACUCCUUUGUAGGCAAAUGAACAAAGGCAUCUGGUACAAAAACUUCAUUGAUCGUGACCUUGACCUCAUCUUCUCCUAGCUCUAUACCAUGCACUACAGUGGUUGCAUCAUAGACUAUGCCACAAGCCACUAGCAUGGUCUCGAUAGGAGAGAGAAUAUAUAGCUGACAUGGACGAAUGUCGUCCAUGUCAUCCCCUAGGGCACUGUUAAACCCCUGGCAAGUGUACCAGAUCGUUAUCAAGUAAUAUAAUUAGUAAAUCCAAUAUCGUUCUUCCCAAAGGACUCAAAGGCCUAAUCUUUCAUGUAAACUAAUUGCAUAAGAUUUGAGAAAGGAAUAAAUUUUGUGAUUUGUAUGCAAAGAACAAAAAUAAACAUGCAAUGCAAUUGAUUCAAUUGGUUUUGAGAAACUAUGGAUGAAUGGUGUUGUUGUGGUUUACAAUUUCAUCUUAUCUACUCUCAUAUAUCUACUCUUCUUAUUUACUUCAUUUAUUUAUCUAAUUGCAUGCAAACUUUCUUGGUCUACCCUUAACCCAAUCCCUUGGUGAAAAGAGCCUAUUAUUAAUUAUCGGCUUGCUAUCCCUAGCCUCCCCUAGUAACCAAUAAUGCAAUGCGAUCGAAAG